This is a non-coding RNA of Camellia sinensis, 779 nucleotides long. NCBI's taxonomy places the organism in Eukaryota, Viridiplantae, Streptophyta, Magnoliopsida, Ericales, Theaceae. The record is from RefSeq and is a predicted model, not a curated record.
UCUCUCUCUUUCUCCCCCCUCUGACUCUCCCUCUCCACUGCUCCUCUCCCCUCCCUCGCGGUCACCGGCAACUGGAGCACCAAUUAACCUCGUUGUUGGUCACUGUCGCCUGAGAUCCAUCACCCAUGGAAGCUCGAUCAGAGGCUCCUUCCUUGCAACUCCUCGCAUUGCAAGAAUCGUUUGAGAGGAAGAAAAAAAAUGGCGUUGGCAAAUAGGGAAAUCUUGGUGUAUUGCUUUGACACCCUGGUUGCUCACUACCCCUGCUUUCGAUGACGACCAACAGUACGCUAUCUCUCAAGGUUUGAGCUUCACUGAAGCUGAGAGAAGAUUGAAGGAAAAUGGCCCGAUAUUCCUCUAGAAUAUACUUUUCCAAGUUGGUGGCAUCUUCUAUGGAGUGCCUUUUUUCACCCUUUCAAUAUUAUUUUGAUUGUAUUGUCAGCCCUCUCGUACUUAGCUAGUGACAGUCCCAAUGGAUGCAUCAUGCUCGUGUUGGUCUUCAUAAGCGUCUCUCUCCGAUUUUACUAGGUAUAUUUUUCCUUUAGUUAUUCCAAUCAGAAUGAUCCUAUACAUAUUCAUUUCUCAGGCAUUUAAUUAUUGUAUUCUCCAUCUAACAAUCUUACUAAAAAUACAAGACGGCAAAUGUAAUUGGUUGUCAAAAAAGCAUUGACAUUUAAACAUCCAAUGAUGUUCGGACAUGUAUGUUUUUAGUAAGAUUGUUAGUAAGAUUUUAAGCAGAUGUAGCAUUACUCUAUGCAAAGUAAGGAUUUCAGAAUGUUAGU